RNAcentral lists this ribosomal RNA (271 nucleotides) under uncultured Eubacteriales bacterium. Its description in RNAcentral is "uncultured Clostridiales bacterium partial 16S ribosomal RNA". It matches the Rfam family "Bacterial small subunit ribosomal RNA", at positions 69 to 339 of the family's 1533-position model. The record is from RNAcentral. Lineage: Bacteria; Bacillati; Bacillota; Clostridia; Eubacteriales.
AGAGAGGGAGCUUGCUUCCUUGAUCGAGUGGCGAACGGGUGAGUAACGCGUGAGGAACCUGCCUCAAAGAGGGGGACAACAGUUGGAAACGACUGCUAAUACCGCAUGACGCAUGACCGGGGCAUCCCGGACAUGCCAAAGAUUUAUCGCUUCAAGAUGGCCUCGCGUCUGAUUAGCUAGUUGGCGGGGUAACGGCCCACCAAGUCGACGAUCAGUAGCCGACCUGAGAGGGUGACCGGCCACAUUGGGACUGAGACACGGCCCAAACUCC